UGAGCCCUUUGCAACUUCGUCGUUCC
Molecule: non-coding RNA, 26 nt
Filed under: Drosophila erecta
Lineage: Eukaryota; Metazoa; Arthropoda; Insecta; Diptera; Drosophilidae
Also listed under: 1 other name
Source: RNAcentral